CGGGGAGGUCAUAAUACUAUUUUUUAAAAAUCUAUAAACUGUGAAGCACAAAACUAGUCAUAUAUGGUAUUUUUUGAAAGCGUAGAACCUCUGCUUUCUUGCAAGUCCCAUGGUAUUUGCAUUAAUUUUACAUAAAAGAAAAUAAUAAGGUAUAAAUUCGUUCUUCCACAACCACCCCCCCUUGAGAAAAUCAGAUGAAUAAUGUUCAUAUUUCAUAUUUAUAGCACACAAACUCACCAAACAUGGACAAGUCACACAUCAAAUGAAAGCUCUCACUCUCAGGAAUGUCACUGUGUACUUUAUUUCACCGAUCUUAUACAUUACAGUGACAUAACAAAUAAUAAUUUUCAAAAGAAUCACAAAAACUGAAAUUACUUAUGUGAACAAGCAAACGUAUGCGUCAUAUUUCUGCGCUGAUAACUACAUCUGUGCUCACAUACUAGCCUAAAAUCCUAUAUCAGCUUUUAGAUUAGGUUGUUUUCUUCAAAAUGAGAGCAUUCUCGUGUGUCUGUGAGCAUGCAUGGCUAAACGGCACUAUAAUAUGUCUCAGAUGCGCAGAUCAAAACAUGCAAAGCAGCGUAAAACAUGACCAGUAUUUGUAUUGACUCUCUUUGAUUCCUUUCGACUUGCAAUGACGUCAUCACGCAGUGCGUCCUAUGUCAUGAAAGCUGACAGCCUCCCCUCUCCAUAGACACAUCGAUCAAGCUUCUAGACCAUUCAGAGCCCGAGUUGUUCCUUUCCAAAGUUGAGGAGGUGGGACUAAAGAAAACGGCGCAAGCGGGCGCAGAUGAUUAUUGAUGAGUUGAUCGGAAGUUUGUUUUGUGAUUUUGGAUAGCGUUUUAGCGAAUUAUUGCGUGCUUUUAUUACUGUUAGAGUUAUAUGUCUCUGAAAAAUGACUUCAAGAAAGUUUUUUGUUGGUUUGGAGGCGGCUUUGGAGGAGUUUGAUCGGAUGUCCGACACUGAAACUUGCAGCGAGGCUAGCUAGCUUUGACUCGGUCAGAGAAGCUGCUUACAAACUGGGAGAAGACCCUGAUUUUGAUUGUAGCAUCCAGUGGUGAAGAAUGGGAGCCAGCAAGUCAGGAUACUUAUUUUGUGUGUGUGUGUGUGUAAAAUAAAAUGCAAGAACAGAA
Long non-coding RNA from Carassius auratus (goldfish), 1130 nucleotides. RefSeq lists it as uncharacterized. Lineage: Eukaryota; Metazoa; Chordata; Actinopteri; Cypriniformes; Cyprinidae. The record is from RefSeq and is a predicted model, not a curated record. The transcript has 2 exons.